AACGAACGCUGGCGGCAGGCCUAACACAUGCAAGUCGAGCGAGAUCUUCGGGUCUAGCGGCGGACGGGUGAGUAACGCGUGGGAAUAUGCCUCUUGGUACGGAAUAGCCUCGGGAAACUGGGAGUAAUACCGUAUGUGCCCUUUGGGGGAAAGAUUUAUCGCCAAGAGAUUAGCCCGCGUUGGAUUAGGUAGUUGGUGGGGUAAUGGCCUACCAAGCCGACGAUCCAUAGCUGGUUUGAGAGGAUGAUCAGCCACACUGGGACUGAGACACGGCCCAGACUCCUACGGGAGGCAGCAGUGGGGAAUCUUAGACAAUGGGGGCAACCCUGAUCUAGCCAUGCCGCGUGAAUGAUGAAGGCCUUAGGGUUGUAAAGCUCUUUCAGCUGGGAAGAUAAUGACGGUACCAGCAGAAGAAGCCCCGGCUAACUCCGUG
Molecule: ribosomal RNA, 433 nt
Filed under: uncultured bacterium
Lineage: Bacteria
Description: partial 16S ribosomal RNA
Rfam family: Bacterial small subunit ribosomal RNA
Source: RNAcentral